GACGAACGCUGGCGGCGUGCUUAACACAUGCAAGUCGAACGGAAAGGCCCUGCUUUUGUGGGUUUCUCGAGUGCCGAACGGGUGAGUAACACGUGAGUAACCUGCCCUUGACUUUGGGAUAACUUCAGGAAACUGGGGCUAAUACCGGAUAGGAGCUCCUGCUGCAUGGUGGGGGUUGGAAAGUUUCGGCUGUAGGGGAUGGACUCGCGGCUUAUCAGCUUGUUGGUGGGGUAGUGGCUUACCAAGGCUUUGACGGGUAGCCGGCCUGAGAGGGUGACCGGCCACAUUGGGACUGAGAUACGGCGCAGACUCCUACGGGAGGCAGCAGUGGGGAAUAUUGCACAGUGGGCGGAAGCCUGAUGCAGCAACGCCGCGUGCGGGAUGACGGCCUUCGGGUUGUAAACCGCUUUCGCCUGUGACGAAGCGUGAGUGACGGUAAUGGGUAAAGAAGCACCGGCUAACUACGUG
RNAcentral lists this ribosomal RNA (468 nucleotides) under uncultured bacterium. RNAcentral's name for it is "partial 16S ribosomal RNA". It matches the Rfam family "Bacterial small subunit ribosomal RNA", at positions 28 to 507 of the family's 1533-position model. The record is from RNAcentral.